RNAcentral lists this ribosomal RNA (253 nucleotides) under uncultured bacterium. RNAcentral's name for it is "partial 16S ribosomal RNA". It matches the Rfam family "Bacterial small subunit ribosomal RNA", at positions 524 to 776 of the family's 1533-position model. The record is from RNAcentral.
CACGUAGGGGACGAGCGUUGUCCGGAUUCAUUGGGCGUAAAGAGCGUGUAGGCGGCCGUACAGGUCAGCUGUGAAAACUCGAGGCUCAACCUCGAGACGUCGGUUGAAACCGUACGGCUAGAGUCCGGAAGAGGAGAGUGGAAUUCCCGGUGUAGCGGUGAAAUGCGCAGAUAUCGGGAAGAACACCCGUGGCGAAGGCGGCUCUCUGGGACGGUACUGACGCUGAGGCACGAAAGCGUGGGUAGCAAACAGG